Molecule: non-coding RNA, 2840 nt
Organism: Mus caroli (Ryukyu mouse)
Lineage: Eukaryota; Metazoa; Chordata; Mammalia; Rodentia; Muridae
Source: RefSeq, a predicted model, not a curated record
GUCUCCCCUCCCCCUUUCCUCUUUUUUGCCCCCAGUCUUGGACUUGGUAGUUGCAUGCAUUGGCUCCCAUUUGAACUAACAGUUCUGAAGGAGGUGGUGGCGGGCGGAGGUGAUGCCUGGGAGCCCUCCCUUGACAGCCCGGGCCUAGAAGAGUCUCUGCAGGAGGUAUCACCCAGACGGGCAGAUCAUGCUAGCAGCAACAGGGGUGGCUGAGAAGUGAAAGGAGCCAGCUACUGAGGAGGGGCCCCAGCAGCUCCUAAAACUCCUAUCAGGACAUGGAGUAUGAAAGACGAGGUGGUCGUGGUGACAGGACUGGCCGCUAUGGAGCCACUGAUCGUUCACAGGAUGAUAGUGGAGAGAACCGCAGCCGGGACCAUGAUUAUAGUGACAAGGAGUACGGUUCAUACCCACGAGAGUAUGGCAGUCCGGACGGCAAGCAUGAGUAUGACGACUCAUCUGAAGAGCAAAGUGCAGAGAUCCGUGGGCAGCUGCAGUCCCAUGGUGUCCAAGCACGGGAGGUCCGGCUGAUGCGAAACAAAUCCUCAGGUCAGAGCCAGGGCUUCGCCUUCGUCGAGUUUAGUCACUUGCAGGACGCUACACGAUGGAUGGAAGCCAAUCAGCACUCCCUCAACAUCCUGGGCCAGAAGGUAUCCAUGCAUUACAGCGACCCCAAGCCCAAGAUCAAUGAGGACUGGCUAUGUAAUAAGUGUGGUGUCCAGAACUUCAAGCGCCGAGAGUGCUUCAAAUGUGGUGUGCCCAAAUCAGAGGCAGAGCAGAAGCUGCCCCUUGGCACUCAGCUGGAUCAGCAGGCACUGCCACUGGGUGGGCGGGAGCUAAGUCAGGGCUUACUCCCACUGCCGCAGCACUACCAGUCCCAGGGAGUGCUAACCUCACAAGCCCUGUCACAGGGCUCAGAGCCAAGCUCCGAGAAUGCCAGUGACACCAUUAUUUUACGAAACCUGAACCCACACAGCACUAUGGACUCCAUCCUCGGGGCCCUAGCACCCUAUGCGGUGCUGUCCUCUUCCAAUGUGCGUGUUAUCAAGGACAAACAGACUCAGCUGAACCGAGGCUUCGCCUUCAUCCAGCUCUCCACCACCGUGGAAGCAGCCCAGCUGCUACAGAUCCUGCAGGCCCUGCACCCUCCGCUCACCAUCGAUGGCAAGACCAUCAACGUGGAGUUUGCCAAGGGUUCUAAGAGGGAUAUGGCCUCCAAUGAAGGCAGUCGCAUCAAUGCUGCCUCUGUGGCCAAUACUGCCAUUGCUGCUGCACACUGGGCAAUCUCACAGGCCUCCCAGGGUGGAGAGAGUGCCUGGGCUGCCCCUGAGGAGCCACCAGUUGACUACAGCUACUACCAACAGGAUGAGGGCUAUGGCAGCAGCCAGGGAACAGAUUCCCUCUAUGCCCAUGGCUACCUUAAGAACAGCAAGGGCCCUGGCAUGACUGGGACCAAAGGGGACCCAGCUGGAGCAGGUCCUGAGGCCUCCCUUGAGGCUGGAGCAGACUCUGUGUCACUGCAGGCUUUCUCUCGAGCCCAGCCCGGUGCUGCCCCUGGGCUCUAUCAGCAAUCAGCUGAGGGGAGCAGUGGCCAGAGCACUGCUACCAACAGCCAAUCAUAUACCAUCAUAUCACCUGCUGUGCUCAAGUCUGAGCUCCAGAGCUCUACUCAUCCCAGCUCUGCCUUACCACCGGCUAUCAGUCCCACUGCCCUAGAGUCCUACAGCCAGUACCCUGUUCCUGAUGUCUCUACUUACCAAUAUGAUGAGACAUCUGGCUACUACUAUGACCCCAAGACUGGUCUAUACUAUGAUCCCAAUUCCCAGUAUUACUACAAUGCUCAGAGUCAGCAGUACCUAUACUGGGAUGGGGAGCGGCAGACCUACAUACCUGCCUUGGAGCAGUCUGCUGAUGGACAUAAGGACACGGGGGCAUCAUCAAAGGAGGGAAAAGAGAAAAAAGAGAAGCAUAAGACAAAGACAGCCCAACAGAUUGCCAAGGACAUGGAGCGGUGGGCACGCAGUCUCAAUAAGCAAAAAGAAAACUUCAAAAACAGCUUCCAGCCUAUUGGUGCUCUACGAGAUGAUGAAAGGCGGGAAUCGGCCAUUGCAGAUGCAGGCUAUGCCAUCCUUGAGAAGAAGGGAGCGCUAGCUGAAAGACAGCACACCAGCAUGGAUCUCCCAAAGCUGGCCAGUGAUGACCGCCCAAGCCCACCUCGAGGGCUGGUGGCAGCCUAUAGUAGGGAGAGUGACAGUGAGGAGGAACAGGAGCGAGGAGGUCCUGAACGGGAAGAAAAGCUCACAGACUGGCAGAAGCUAGUCUGUCUGCUCUGCCGCCGCCAGUUUCCCAGCAAGGAGGCACUCAUCCGGCACCAGCAGCUCUCUGGGCUCCACAAGCAAAACCUUGAGAUUCAUCGGCGAGCCCACUUGUCAGAAAACGAAUUGGAAGCACUAGAGAAAAAUGACAUGGAGCAAAUGAAGUAUCGAGACCGUGCGGCUGAACGCAGGGAGAAGUAUGGUAUCCCUGAGCCACCAGAGCCCAAACGGAGGAAGUAUGGUGGCAUAUCUGCAGCCUCUGUGGACUUUGAACAACCCACUCGGGAUGGAUUAGGCAGUGACAACAUUGGCAGUCGAAUGCUCCAGGCCAUGGGCUGGAAAGAAGGCAGUGGUCUGGGCCGCAAGAAACAGGGCAUUGUGACACCCAUUGAGGCCCAAACACGAGUUCGAGGUUCUGGCCUGGGUGCCAGGGGCAGUUCCUAUGGGGUCACCUCAACAGAAUCCUAUAAGGAGAUACUGCACAAGACAAUGGUGACCCGAUUCAAUGAGGCCCAGUGAACAACUUUG